Molecule: small nuclear RNA, 349 nt
Filed under: Erinaceus europaeus (western European hedgehog)
Lineage: Eukaryota; Metazoa; Chordata; Mammalia; Eulipotyphla; Erinaceidae
Description: 7SK RNA
Rfam family: 7SK RNA
About the family: 7SK was discovered as an abundant small nuclear RNA in the mid-70s but a possible function has only recently been suggested. Two independent studies have found that 7SK RNA binds the CDK9/cyclin T complex (known as elongation factor P-TEFb).
Source: Rfam by way of RNAcentral
GGAUGUGAGGGUGAUCUGGCUGCGACAUCUGUCACCCCAUUGAUCACCAGGGUUGAUUUGGCUGAUCGGGCUGGCUAGGCGGGUGACCCCGUCCUCCCUCACCGCUCCAUGGGUGUCCCUCCCGAAGCUGCGAGCUCGGUCGAGGAGGACGGCCUUACCAGAACAGAGACCGGCCUUCUUCGGUUGAGGGUAUAUGAGUAGCUGUGCUCCCUUGCUAGAACCUCCAAACAAGCUCUCAAGGAUAGGACAGAGAGAAAUGGAGAGAGGAGGGAAGGAUAGAGAGGGGGAGAGAAGGAGAGACACCUGCAGACCUGCUUCACCACUUGUGAGUGACUCCCUGCAGGUGGGG